Molecule: ribosomal RNA, 253 nt
Filed under: uncultured bacterium
Lineage: Bacteria
Description: partial 16S ribosomal RNA
Rfam family: Bacterial small subunit ribosomal RNA
Source: RNAcentral
UACAGAGGGUGCAAGCGUUAAUCGGAGUUACUGGGCGUAAAGGGCGCGUAGGCGGUCAUGUAAGUGAGAUGUGAAAUCCCCGGGCUCAACCUGGGAACUGCAUUUGUGACUGCAUAGCUAGAGUACGGUAGAGGGGGAUGGAAUUCCGCGUGUAGCAGUGAAAUGCGUAGAUAUGCGGAGGAACACCGAUGGCGAAGGCAAUCCCCUGGACCUGUACUGACGCUCGUGCACGAAAGCGUGGGGAGCAAACAGG